Molecule: ribosomal RNA, 486 nt
Filed under: uncultured bacterium
Lineage: Bacteria
Description: partial 16S ribosomal RNA
Rfam family: Bacterial small subunit ribosomal RNA
Source: RNAcentral
AUUGAACGCUGGCGGCAUGCCUAACACAUGCAAGUCGAACGGCAGCACGGGUGGUUGCACCUGGUGGCGAUUGCGGAAGGGGGGAGUGAUACAUCGGAACAUGUCCCGUAUUGGGGGAUAGCCAGGCCGAAGCCGGAUUAAUACUGCAGACGAAUAACGGAUAAAAGCGGGGGCACUUGGGGACUCGCGCUUUAGGGUUGGCCGAUGACGGAUUAGCUAGUUGGUGGGGUAAAGGCCUACCAAGGCGACGAUCCGUAGCUGGUCUGAGAGGAUGACCAGCCACACUGGGACUGAGACACGGCCCAGACUCCUACGGGAGGCAGCAGUGGGGAAUUUUGGACAAUGGGCGAAAGCCUGAUCCAGCAAUGCCGCGUGUGUGAAGAAGGCCUUCGGGUUGUAAAGCACUUUUGUCCGGAAAGAAAACCUUUGCCCUAAUACGGUCGGGUGAUGACGGUACCGAAAGAAUAAGCACCGGCUAACUACGUG